Molecule: long non-coding RNA, 699 nt
Filed under: Equus asinus (donkey)
Lineage: Eukaryota; Metazoa; Chordata; Mammalia; Perissodactyla; Equidae
Description: lncRNA (ENSEASG00005023930.1)
Source: RNAcentral
GACAAUCUUUUACCCCAAACACAAAUUAUAUGUGAGCUCUAGGAAUUGUUCAGCGUACAGCUCCGCCAUCACCUGGUGGUUUUCUGCCCAGCUUCAUGGAGUUUUAGCCUAGGCCUGCACAGUUUAGUAUCCAACAACAGACUCAAAGACCUCAGUGCAGAAAUGUGGAGGUCUUUCUCCACAGAGCGUUCUCCUGCCUCACUGGUGGUCAGCCCUGCACAUUCCAGACAUCUCUGCAUCCCUGAACUCCAGUCUCUACCUCCCCAACUCAGUACGAAUGAAGUGCUCUGUUUGGGUUCCUGCUACGUGGACCAUUGUCAGACUUCACUUCCCAUGGUAGAAGCAAAGAGGAGGCGCUCAGCUCUGAAAAGAAAAACGGGGGAACGUCACAAUGAAGAGGAAGCCCCUUUUUCUGUCCCUGGAUACAGUUGCAUCACAUAAUGACAGGGAUAUGUUCUAAGAUAAGUGACCUCAGACAUCUGAAGAAGGCUGGAUAAGAUCAGAGAUGAAUCAUGAGGCCUGGCCUCCGAAAAAAGUCAGAAGCACACACUGGAUGAGAACGAAGGAACUCAUGGAAACAAAUGGAUCUCAAAGAUUUAAUGCAGCCAGCUCGUGCAUAUUAACAGGUAUGAUGUGAAGGUGAAUUUACUGAAGCACAAGUCAAAACCUGGGGUUUGUGUUGUAAUUGUGAGAAAGAAC